Molecule: ribosomal RNA, 478 nt
Filed under: uncultured Planctomycetales bacterium
Lineage: Bacteria; Pseudomonadati; Planctomycetota; Planctomycetia; Planctomycetales
Description: bacterial SSU rRNA
Rfam family: Bacterial small subunit ribosomal RNA
Source: RNAcentral
UUUCGCAAUGCCCGAAAGGGUGACGAAGCGACGCCACGUGUGGGAAGAAGGCCUUCGGGUUGUAAACCACUGUCGGGAGUUAGGAAAUGCAGGUGCGUUAAUAGCGCACUUGCUUGACUAAGGCUCCAGAGGAAGCCACGGCUAACUCUGUGCCAGCAGCCGCGGUAAUACAGAGGCGGCAAGCGUUGUUCGGAAUUAUUGGGCGUAAAGAGCACGUAGGCGGCCUUGCAAGUCAGUUGUGAAAGCCUUCCGCUUAACGGAAGAACGGCAUCUGAUACUACAGGGCUUGAGUACGGGAGGGGAGAGUGGAACUUCUGGUGGAGCGGUGAAAUGCGUAGAUAUCAGAAGGAACGCCGGCGGCGAAAGCGACUCUCUGGUCCGAAACUGACGCUGAGUGUGCGAAAGCUAGGGGAGCAAACGGGAUUAGAUACCCUGGUAGUCCUAGCCGUAAACGAUGGGCACUAAGUAGAGGGGUUUU